GGAGGAAGGGAGGAAAAGUAGACAGGGAAGGAAGGAAGGAAAGAAGAGAAGAAGGAAGGAAGGAAGGACGUACAACAGAUAAUCUAGCAUUUCCACUGUGCCACGGGAAAAGCUUAACUCCUUAAUGCUUUCUGCUACUUUCAGGUGGAGAAAAUGAAGGAACAAAAAAUGACUGUAGCCACGCCAGAAUCCACGAAUUCAAAAGGAGGCUUUGGAUGCUGCUGAACUUCGACUCGGUGUUCUUUU
This is a non-coding RNA of Pseudonaja textilis, 246 nucleotides long. NCBI's taxonomy places the organism in Eukaryota, Metazoa, Chordata, Lepidosauria, Squamata, Elapidae. The record is from RefSeq and is a predicted model, not a curated record.